ACUACUGCACAGUGCCUGACACUAAGAAAGCCUUUAUUAAAUGAUUAUUGAUUGACUAACUAUCUGAAGGCAAAUUGAGGCAACCUUUGUAGAACUCUUGAACAGAGAAUAGAUUAAAAUAGUUUGGUGUUAACAUUCCAUAAUAAUAGUCACUACUAAAUUCCUUUUGGUGACCAUUCAUAACUUAAUCUAGUGAUGUCCAGAAAUAGUCAAAGAAAAUUCCACUCUCUGAUCAAUAUCUUGAUUCUUAACAACUGGAAAAAGAGGAUGCUGCCCUUGGGUGUGUAUAGCCCAAACAUUUCAAGGGAUGGGAAUGUUAACAAAAGAAAAAGAGAGAAAGCUAUCACAAGAAGGAAAAGAAGUGGCAAGGAUAACAUUAUGAUGCAAAGAGAAUAGUCAAGAGGACAUCAAUAACAGACCUGCAAAGAUAUUGAAAUACUGCAGGGUGAAGCCACAUCCCUGGGGUACUGCGACCAUCCAGUCUCUCCACUCCUGCUCCAGAGCAGCUGGAUACCAAAGGAGAAAAUCACAUCAUCCAGCUGAUUUUGCCCACCGUUAUUCAUGGCACACAACCACAACUUGGCCUUUCUGAUGCUCAACAAUCCUUCUGUUCCACCACCCUUAUUGAAAUCUUAUAUCUCAUUUUGUCUGGUGACUAUUGUCUCCUCUCACCACCGCCCUCAGCUCCAGCCAGAAUGUUUAUUGCAAAUUACAUCACUCCCUUACUUUACUGAAAUAGUGAGACCAGCUGAUGUGAAGAAUAACACAUGGUCCCUGUCCCCACGAAGCCUAGUGGUAAAGAUAAGACAUGUACAUGAUUAUUAAGGUGAAGUUUGGAGAGCUAUGGGAGAGCUGCAGAGCAUUCUAGAAAUUUAAAGAAAGGAGAGAAAACUUCUAGCUGGGGAGAAUCAGGGAAUGGAGGAGAUAACAUCUGGGCUGGGCCUUGGAGGAAGAGUAGGAAUAGAAUAGGCAGAGCUGAGAAGAAAGGGCAUUCCCAGAAGAAAAAUGCUCUAUAUCCCCUAACUAUAUUGUAAGCUACUGAA
Long non-coding RNA from Phascolarctos cinereus (koala), 1043 nucleotides. RefSeq lists it as uncharacterized. The record is from RefSeq and is a predicted model, not a curated record. NCBI's taxonomy places the organism in Eukaryota, Metazoa, Chordata, Mammalia, Diprotodontia, Phascolarctidae.